This 491-nucleotide ribosomal RNA is filed under the name uncultured bacterium. RNAcentral describes it as "partial 16S ribosomal RNA". It matches the Rfam family "Bacterial small subunit ribosomal RNA", at positions 29 to 507 of the family's 1533-position model. The record is from RNAcentral.
AGUGAACGCUGGCGGUAGGCCUAACACAUGCAAGUCGAACGGCAGCACAGUAAGAGCUUGCUCUUACGGGUGGCGAGUGGCGGACGGGUGAGGAAUACAUCGGAAUCUACUUUUUCGUGGGGAUAACGUAGGGAAACUUACGCUAAUACCGCAUACGACCUACGGGUGAAAGCAGGGGAUCUUCGGACCUUGCGCGAUUGAAUGAGCCGAUGUCGGAUUAGCUAGGUGGCGGGGUAAAGGCCCACCAAGGCGACGAUCCGUAGCUGGUCUGAGAGGAUGAUCAGCCACACUGGAACUGAGACACGGUCCAGACUCCUACGGGAGGCAGCAGUGGGGAAUAUUGGACAAUGGGCGCAAGCCUGAUCCAGCCAUACCGCGUGGGUGAAGAAGGCCUUCGGGUUGUAAAGCCCUUUUGUUGGGAAAGAAAAGCAGCAGGUUAAUACCCCGCUGUUCUGACGGUACCCAAAGAAUAAGCACCGGCUAACUUCGUG